AUGGCCCACGCCCGCAUCCUCCUCCUGGCGCUCGCCGCCCUGGCCACGGCCACCGUCGCCGUCGCCUCCUCCUCCUCCUCCUCCUCCUUCGCCGUCUCCAACCCGAUCCGGCCCGUCACCGAGCGCGCCGCUUCGACGCUCGAGUCCACCGUCCUCGCCGCGCUCGGCCGCACCCGCCACGCCCUCCGCUUCGCGCGCUUCGCCGUCAGGUACGGCAAGAGCUACGAGAGCGCGGCGGAGGUGCGGAGGCGGUUCCGGAUCUUCUCCGAGAGCCUCGAGGAGGUGCGCUCCACCAACCGGAAGGGCCUAUCCUACCGCCUCGGCAUCAACCGCUUCUCGGACAUGAGCUGGGAGGAGUUCCAGGCGACCCGGCUCGGCGCGGCGCAGACCUGCUCGGCCACGCUCGCCGGCAACCACCUGAUGCGCGACGCCGCCGCGCUCCCGGAGACCAAAGACUGGAGGGAGGAUGGGAUCGUUAGCCCCGUAAAAGACCAGUCCCAUUGCGGCUCCUGCUGGACGUUCAGCACUACUGGUGCACUUGAGGCAGCAUAUACUCAGGCCACUGGAAAGAACAUCUCUCUUUCUGAGCAACAGCUGGUUGACUGUGCCGGCGGAUUCAAUAAUUUCGGAUGCAGCGGAGGCCUUCCAUCCCAGGCAUUUGAGUACAUCAAAUACAAUGGAGGGAUCGAUACCGAGGAGUCCUACCCUUACAAGGGUGUCAAUGGCGUCUGCCAUUACAAGGCUGAAAAUGCCGUAGUUCAGGUUUUGGACUCUGUUAACAUCACACUGAAUGCUGAGGACGAACUGAAAAACGCCGUCGGGUUGGUUCGCCCAGUGAGUGUUGCCUUUGAGGUGAUCAACGGUUUCAGGCAGUACAAGAGCGGAGUUUACAGUAGCGACCAUUGCGGUACUACACCUGAUGACGUGAACCACGCCGUCUUGGCGGUCGGGUACGGCGUGGAGAACGGCGUCCCGUAUUGGCUCAUCAAGAACUCGUGGGGCGCCGACUGGGGUGACAAUGGUUACUUCAAGAUGGAAAUGGGCAAGAACAUGUGUGCUGUUGCUACCUGUGCGUCCUACCCCAUCGUAGCGGCAUGA
Molecule: ribosomal RNA, 1098 nt
Filed under: Triticum aestivum (bread wheat)
Lineage: Eukaryota; Viridiplantae; Streptophyta; Magnoliopsida; Poales; Poaceae
Description: partial small subunit ribosomal RNA
Source: RNAcentral